Molecule: long non-coding RNA, 700 nt
Organism: Rosa chinensis
Lineage: Eukaryota; Viridiplantae; Streptophyta; Magnoliopsida; Rosales; Rosaceae
Exons: 3
Source: RefSeq, a predicted model, not a curated record
UGGAAACCCGAAGCCUGCUGCUGCAGAAACGGCCGGAAAUCGCAUUUUCCUUCUCCAGGCGAUAUCUCCCUCCUCAGGCGAGCGUUUGAAGUGAAACCAAGCCCAGACCAGUUCGCCACCUCCCCAUGAGUCGACCGGUGGCCUCCUUUCCUCCCCUCACGGUGGCUACGCGGCGGUAGAGCUCGGUUCCGAUUUGAGUUCAAUUUUGAGUCAACGCCGAUAUCUCUAGUUCUAGAUGACCAAUCUUCGAGAUUCUUGGACUGAUGAACUCAGAUUGAAGUUAUGAACAAGUUUCAUGAAGGGAUCGAAGCGAGUUGUGGAAGUUUUUACGUUGAACGGAGCCUAUGCCGAAUUCUGGAAAAUUUCCGGCGACACCGUGUGUUCUAGGUGAUCAUUGGAUGGAUUUGACGGACGAUGGUGAUUUGUUGUUGAUACUGCUAAGAAGACGCAGCGGGAUUAGAGCGGGAUUAUCCUACAGGGCAGGAAAAUCAGGAAGAGGAUCGAGCUGUGUAGAGUAGCUGCUAGAGAUACUCUGAUUAUUUGUUGUGAGGUGUGUUAUGCUCAUUUAGAGCUUUACAAUUUUACUAUGUGAGAGUGAAUUGUAAUAAUGAAACUCGAGCUUUUCGAGAUUUUAUUUUGAGUGGUUUUAAUUCAUGUUUCGAAUUUUGAAUUUGUUAUUCUUAAAAUUCGGGGCGUGACA